UGAUAAAGUUAAAGGGCCGCGGUAUUUUGACCGUGCGAAGGUAGCAUAAUCAUUAGUCUUUUAAUUGGAGGCUUGUAUGAAUGGUUGGACAAAAAGUAAGCUGUCUCGGUUAUAUUGUUUGAAUUUAACUUUUAAGUGAAAAGGCUUAAAUAAACUAAAGGGACGAUAAGACCCUAUAAAGCUUUACAAUUAUUUAAUUAGAUUAUAAAUUGUUGGUGUAACUUGAUUUAAUUAAUAUUUGUUUCGUUGGGGCGACGGGAAUAAAAUUGAAAUAACUGUUCUUUUAUUAGUAGUCACAGAUUUGUUUGAUUAAAAAUUGAUCCUUUAUUAGAGAUUAAAAGAUUAAGUUACUUUAGGGAUAACAGCGUAAUUCUCUUUGAGAGUCCAUAUCGACAAGAGAGGUUGCGACCUCGAUGUUGAAUU
RNAcentral lists this ribosomal RNA (423 nucleotides) under Metapenaeopsis provocatoria longirostris. RNAcentral describes it as "partial 16S ribosomal RNA". It matches the Rfam family "Bacterial large subunit ribosomal RNA", at positions 1910 to 2538 of the family's 2925-position model. Lineage: Eukaryota; Metazoa; Arthropoda; Malacostraca; Decapoda; Penaeidae. The record is from RNAcentral.